Molecule: ribosomal RNA, 1027 nt
Filed under: uncultured organism
Description: bacterial SSU rRNA
Rfam family: Bacterial small subunit ribosomal RNA
Source: RNAcentral
UUCUUUUCUGCAGGAAGAAAUCACUCUACGUGUAGGGUGUUGCCGGUACUGCAGGAAUAAGCAUCGGCUAACUCCGUGCCAGCAGCCGCGGUAAUACGGAGGAUGCAAGCGUUAUCCGGAUUUAUUGGGUUUAAAGGGUGCGUAGGCGGGCUUGUAAGUCAGUGGUGAAAUGCUGUGGCUUAACCAUAGAAUUGCCAUUGAAACUGCAAGUCUUGAGUACAGUUGAGGUGGGCGGAAUGAGUAAUGUAGCGGUGAAAUGCAUAGAUAUUACUCAGAACUCCGAUUGCGUAGGCAGCUUGCUAAACUGUAACUGACGCUGAUGCACGAAAGCGUGGGGAGCGAACAGGAUUAGAUACCCUGGUAGUCCACGCUGUAAACGAUGAGCACUGGUUGUUGGCAAUACACCGUCAGCGACUGAGCGAAAGUAUUAAGUGCUCCACCUGGGGAGUACGUCGGCAACGAUGAAACUCAAAGGAAUUGACGGGGGCCCGCACAAGCGGAGGAACAUGUGGUUUAAUUCGAUGAUACGCGAGGAACCUUACCUGGGCUUAAAUGUAGAGUGCAUUGCUUGGAAACAGGCAUUUUCUUCGGAACUCUUUACAAGGUGCUGCAUGGUUGUCGUCAGCUCGUGCCGUGAGGUGUCGGGUUAAGUCCCAUAACGAGCGCAACCCCUAUUGUUAGUUACCAGCACGUAAUGGUGGGGACUCUAGCAAGACUGCCGGUGUAAACCGUGAGGAAGGUGGGGAUGACGUCAAAUCAGCACGGCCCUUAUGUCCAGGGCUACACACGUGUUACAAUGGCAAGUACAAAGAGCAGCCACCUGGCGACAGGGCGCUAAUCUCAAAAGCUUGCCUCAGUUCGGAUCGAAGUCUGCAACUCGACUUCGUGAAGGUGGAUUCGCUAGUAAUCGCGCAUCAGCCAUGGCGCGGUGAUACGUUCCCGGGCCUUGUACACACCGCCCGUCAAGCCAUGGAAGCCGGGGGUACCUGAAGUCCGUAACCGCAAGAUCGGCCUAGGGUAAAACUGG